GCAAGUCGAACGAGAACGGGGUUAGUUUACUUACCUUUCAGCUAAGUGGCGCACGGGUGAGUAAUAUAUAGUUAACCUGCCCCAAAGAAGCGAAUAAUUGUUGGAAACGACUUUUAAUGCUCUACAUGCCUCUAUUCCAUAAGUAAGCGAGGGAAACAUUUAUUGCUUUGGGAUGGGCCUGUGUGGUAUCAGCUUGUUGGUGAGGUAAUGGCUCACCAAGGCUAUGACGCCUAGCUGGUUUGAGAGGAUGAUC
RNAcentral lists this ribosomal RNA (253 nucleotides) under uncultured bacterium. RNAcentral's name for it is "partial 16S ribosomal RNA". It matches the Rfam family "Bacterial small subunit ribosomal RNA", at positions 57 to 305 of the family's 1533-position model. The record is from RNAcentral.